UCUCCGUAGGUGAACCUGCGGAGGGAUCAUUACAAGAACGCCCGGGCUUCGGCCUGGUUAUUCAUAACCCUUUGUUGUCCGACUCUGUUGCCUCCGGGGCGACCCUGCCUUCGGGCGGGGGCUCCGGGUGGACACUUCAAACUCUUGCGUAACUUUGCAGUCUGAGUAACUUAAUUAAUAAAUUAAAACUUUUAACAACGGAUCUCUUGGUUCUGGCAUCGAUGAAGAACGCAGCGAAAUGCGAUAAGUAAUGUGAAUUGCAGAAUUCAGUGAAUCAUCGAAUCUUUGAACGCACAUUGCGCCCCCUGGUAUUCCGGGGGGCAUGCCUGUUCGAGCGUCAUUUCACCACUCAAGCCUCGCUUGGUAUUGGGCAACGCGGUCCGCCGCGUGCCUCAAAUCGUCCGGCUGGGUCUUCUGUCCCCUAAGCGUUGUGGAAACUAUUCGCUAAAGGGUGUUCGGGAGGCUACGCCGUAAAACAACCCCAUUUCUAAGGUUGACCUCGGAUCAGAUAGGGAUACCCGCUGAACUUAAGCAUAUCA
This 539-nucleotide ribosomal RNA is filed under the name uncultured fungus. RNAcentral's name for it is "eukaryotic LSU rRNA". The stretch from base 187 to 340 matches the Rfam family "5.8S ribosomal RNA". The record is from RNAcentral. Lineage: Eukaryota; Fungi.